UACGGAGGGGGCUAGCGUUGUUCGGAAUUACUGGGCGUAAAGGGCGCGUAGGCGGACGAUCAAGUCAGGGGUGAAAGGCCUGGGCUCAACCUGGGAACGGCCUUUGAAACUGAUUGUCUAGAGUCCGGGAGAGGAUGGCGGAAUACCCAGUGUAGAGGUGAAAUUCGUAGAUAUUGGGUGGAACACCGGUGGCGAAGGCGGCCAUCUGGACCGGCACUGACGCUGAGGCGCGAAAGCGUGGGGAGCGAACAGG
Molecule: unclassified non-coding RNA, 253 nt
Filed under: uncultured Alphaproteobacteria bacterium
Lineage: Bacteria; Pseudomonadati; Pseudomonadota; Alphaproteobacteria
Description: contains 16S-23S intergenic spacer region
Rfam family: Bacterial small subunit ribosomal RNA
Source: RNAcentral